RNAcentral lists this ribosomal RNA (301 nucleotides) under uncultured bacterium. RNAcentral's name for it is "partial 16S ribosomal RNA". It matches the Rfam family "Bacterial small subunit ribosomal RNA", at positions 509 to 807 of the family's 1533-position model. The record is from RNAcentral.
CAGUCGCCACGGUAAUACGUAGGUGGCAAGCGUUGUCCGGAAUUAUUGAGCGUAAAGCGCGCGCAGGUGGUUUAAUAAGUCUGAUGUGAAAGCCCACGGCUCAACCGUGGAGGGUCAUUGGAAACUGUUAAACUUGAGUGCAGGAGAGAAAAGUGGAAUUCCUAGUGUAGUGGUGAAAUGCGUAGAGAUUAGGAGGAACACCAGUGGCGAAGGCGGCUUUUUGGCCUGUAACUGACACUGAGGCGCGAAAGCGUGGGGAGCAAACAGGAUUAGAUACCCGCGUAGUCCCUGUCUCUUAUAC